This 103-nucleotide ribosomal RNA is filed under the name uncultured bacterium. RNAcentral's name for it is "partial 16S ribosomal RNA". It matches the Rfam family "Bacterial small subunit ribosomal RNA", at positions 1380 to 1482 of the family's 1533-position model. The record is from RNAcentral.
CUUGUACACACCGCCCGUCACACCAUGGGAGCGGGUUCUGCCAGAAGUGGUUGGCCUAACCGCAAGGAGGGCGUCCACCACGGCAGGGUUCGUGACUGGGGUG